Molecule: ribosomal RNA, 467 nt
Filed under: uncultured bacterium
Lineage: Bacteria
Description: partial 16S ribosomal RNA
Rfam family: Bacterial small subunit ribosomal RNA
Source: RNAcentral
GACGAACGCUGGCGGCGUGCUUAACACAUGCAAGUCGAACGGAAAGGCCCUGCUUUUGUGGGGUGCUCGAGAGGCGAACGGGUGAGUAACACGUGAGUAACCUGCCCUUGACUUUGGGAUAACUUCAGGAAACUGGGGCUAAUACCGGAUAGGAGCUCCUGCUGCAUGGUGGGGGUUGGAAAGUUUCGGCGGUUGGGAUGGACUCGCGGCUUAUCAGCUUGUUGGUGGGGUAGUGGCUUACCAAGGCUUUGACGGGUAGCCGGCCUGAGAGGGUGACCGGCCACAUUGGGACUGAGAUACGGCCCAGACUCCUACGGGAGGCAGCAGUGGGGAAUAUUGCACAAUGGGCGGAAGCCUGAUGCAGCAACGCCGCGUGCGGGAUGACGGCCUUCGGGUUGUAAACCGCUUUCGCCUGUGACGAAGCGUGAGUGACGGUAAUGGGUAAAGAAGCACCGGCUAACUACGUG